Molecule: ribosomal RNA, 850 nt
Filed under: uncultured archaeon
Lineage: Archaea
Description: bacterial SSU rRNA
Rfam family: Archaeal small subunit ribosomal RNA
Source: RNAcentral
AGUAACGCGUAGUCAAUCUACCCUAUGGACGGGAAUAACCUCGGGAAACUGAGAAUAAUGCCCGAUAGAACAUUAUGCCUGGAAUGGUUUAUGUUUCAAAUGAUUUAUCGCCAUAGGAUGGGACUGCGGCCUAUCAGUUUGUUGGUGAGGUAAUGGCCCACCAAGACUAUUACAGGUACGGGCUCUGAGAGGAGUAGCCCGGAGAUGGGUACUGAGACACGGACCCAGGCCCUAUGGGGCGCAGCAGGCGAGAAAACUUUGCAAUGUGCGAAAGCACGACAAGGUUAAUCCGAGUGGUUUCUGCUAAAGAAACCUUUUGUCAGUCCUAGAAACACUAACGAAUAAGGGGUGGGCAAGUUCUGGUGUCAGCCGCCGCGGUAAAACCAGCACCUCAAGUGGUCAGGAUGAUUAUUGGGCCUAAAGCAUCCGUAGCUCGUUUUGUAAGUUUUCGGUUAAAUCCAUGCGCUUAACGUAUGGGCUGCCGGGAAUACUGCAUAACUAGGAAGUGGGAGAGGUAGACGGUACUCGGGAGGAAGGGGUAAAAUCCUUUGAUCUCUUGAUGACCACCUGUGGCGAAGGCGGUCUACCANAACACGUUCGACGGUGAGGGAUGAAAGCUGGGGGAGCAAACCGGAUUAGAUACCCGGGUAGUCCCAGCUGUAAACUAUGCAAACUCAGUGAUGCAUUGGCUUAUGGCCAAUGCAGUGCUGCAGGGAAGCCGUUAAGUUUGCCGCCUGGGAAGUACGUACGCAAGUAUGAAACUUAAAGGAAUUGGCGGGGGAGCACCACAAGGGGUGAAGCCUGCGGUUCAAUUGGAGUCAACGCCGGGAAGGGCGAAUUCGUUUAAACC